UAAUCUUGCUACUACAAGAUUGAGGUGAAGA
RNAcentral lists this non-coding RNA (31 nucleotides) under Rattus norvegicus (Norway rat). The record is from RNAcentral. Lineage: Eukaryota; Metazoa; Chordata; Mammalia; Rodentia; Muridae.